CUCAUCCUUUCCUCGCACCGAUU
This 23-nucleotide microRNA is filed under the name Ananas comosus (pineapple). RNAcentral describes it as "microRNA s0059_c035". Lineage: Eukaryota; Viridiplantae; Streptophyta; Magnoliopsida; Poales; Bromeliaceae. The record is from RNAcentral.